ACCUGAAAAGAGCAAACUUAAAGAAAUUUAGGGACGCAAAGUUAUGGGCCUAAAAGGAAGUUCAACCUUAUGGCUGCCAGACUGCCAGG
This 89-nucleotide non-coding RNA is filed under the name Clostridium magnum. RNAcentral's name for it is "c-di-GMP sequence". It matches the Rfam family "c-di-GMP-I riboswitch aptamer". Rfam says of the family: GEMM was predicted in a large-scale screen for bacterial structured RNA regulatory elements. Genes associated with GEMM are involved in a diverse array of functions, including chemotaxis regulation, signal transduction, secretion and chitin. Lineage: Bacteria; Bacillati; Bacillota; Clostridia; Eubacteriales; Clostridiaceae. The record is from RNAcentral. RNAcentral also lists the same sequence under 1 other name.